ACUGCCAUAUCACGUUGAAAUAUCAGUUCCCGUACGAUCACCAAAGUUAAGCAACGUCAAGCCUGAUAAGUACCAAGAUGGGUGACAGCUUGGGAAUACCAGCUGCUGUAAG
Acanthosepion pharaonis is the source of this 112-nucleotide non-coding RNA. NCBI's taxonomy places the organism in Eukaryota, Metazoa, Mollusca, Cephalopoda, Sepiida, Sepiidae. The record is from the annotation of a GenBank genome assembly.